CUGAUGCGUUGUUGGGUAGGGGAGCGUUCUGUAAGCCUGCGAAGGUGGCCUGUGAGGGUUGCUGGAGGUAUCAGAAGUGCGAAUGCUGACAUAAGUAACGAUAAAGCGGGUGAAAAGCCCGCUCGCCGGAAGACCAAGGGUUCCUGUCCAACGUUAAUCGGGGCAGGGUGAGUCGACCCCUAAGGCGAGGCCGAAAGGCGUAGUCGAUGGGAAACGGGUUAAUAUUCCCGUACUUGGUGUUACUGCGAAGGGGGGACGGAGAAGGCUAUGUUGGCCGGGCGACGGUUGUCCCGGUUUAAGCGUGUAGGUGUGUGUUCCAGGUAAAUCCGGUUCACUUUAACACUGAGGCGUGAUGACGAGGCACUACGGUGCUGAAGCAACAAAUGCCCUGCUUCCAGGAAAAGCCUCUAAGCAUCAGGUAACAUCAAAUCGUACCCCAAACCGACACAGGUGGUCAGGUAGAGAAUACCAAGGCGCUUGAGAGAACUCGGGUGAAGGAACUAGGCAAAAUGGUGCCGUAACUUCGGGAGAAGGCACGCUGACACGUAGGUGAAGUGAUUUACUCAUGGAGCUGAAGUCAGUCGAAGAUACCAGCUGGCUGCAACUGUUUAUUAAAAACACAGCACUGUGCAAACACGAAAGUGGACGUAUACGGUGUGACGCCUGCCCGGUGCCGGAAGGUUAAUUGAUGGGGUCAGCGCAAGCGAAGCUCCUGAUCGAAGCCCCGGUAAACGGCGGCCGUAACUAUAACGGUCCUAAGGUAGCGAAAUUCCUUGUCGGGUAAGUUCCGACCUGCACGAAUGGCGUAAUGAUGGCCAGGCUGUCUCCACCCGAGACUCAGUGAAAUUGAACUCGCUGUGAAGAUGCAGUGUACCCGCGGCAAGACGGAAAGACCCCGUGAACCUUUACUAUAGCUUGACACUGAACAUUGAGCCUUGAUGUGUAGGAUAGGUGGGAGGCUUUGAAGUGUGGACGCCAGUCUGCAUGGAGCCGACCUUGAAAUACCACCCUUUAAUGUUUGAUGUUCUAACGUGGACCCGUGAUCCGGGUUGCGGACAGUGUCUGGUGGGUAGUUUGACUGGGGCGGUCUCCUCCUAAAGAGUAACGGAGGAGCACGAAGGUUGGCUAAUCCUGGUCGGACAUCAGGAGGUUAGUGCAAUGGCAUAAGCCAGCUUGACUGCGAGCGUGACGGCGCGAGCAGGUGCGAAAGCAGGUCAUAGUGAUCCGGUGGUUCUGAAUGGAAGGGCCAUCGCUCAACGGAUAAAAGGUACUCCGGGGAUAACAGGCUGAUACCGCCCAAGAGUUCAUAUCGACGGCGGUGUUUGGCACCUCGAUGUCGGCUCAUCACAUCCUGGGGCUGAAGUAGGUCCCAAGGGUAUGGCUGUUCGCCAUUUAAAGUGGUACGCGAGCUGGGUUUAGAACGUCGUGAGACAGUUCGGUCCCUAUCUGCCGUGGGCGCUGGAGAACUGAGGGGGGCUGCUCCUAGUACGAGAGGACCGGAGUGGACGCAUCACUGGUGUUCGGGUUGUCAUGCCAAUGGCACUGCCCGGUAGCUAAAUGCGGAAGAGAUAAGUGCUGAAAGCAUCUAAGCACGAAACUUGCCCCGA
RNAcentral lists this ribosomal RNA (1607 nucleotides) under Salmonella enterica. RNAcentral describes it as "bacterial LSU rRNA". It matches the Rfam family "Bacterial large subunit ribosomal RNA", at positions 1213 to 2802 of the family's 2925-position model. Lineage: Bacteria; Pseudomonadati; Pseudomonadota; Gammaproteobacteria; Enterobacterales; Enterobacteriaceae. RNAcentral also lists the same sequence under 6 other names. The record is from RNAcentral.